GUCGUGACUGCGUGCCUUUUGAAGAAUGAGCCUGCGAGUUAGCGGUGUGUAGCGAGGUUAACCCGUGUGGGGAAGCCGUAGCGAAAGCGAGUCCGAAUAGGGCGAUUGAGUUGCACGCUCUAGACCCGAAGCGGAGUGAUCUAGCCAUGGGCAGGUUGAAGCGGAGGUAAGACUUCGUGGAGGACCGAACCCACCAGGGUUGAAAACCUGGGGGAUGACCUGUGGUUAGGGGUGAAAGGCCAAUCAAACUCCGUGAUAGCUGGUUCUCCCCGAAAUGCAUUUAGGUGCAGCGUCGUGUGUUUCUUGCCGGAGGUAGAGCACUGGAUAGGCGAUGGGCCCUACCGGGUUACUGACCUUAGCCAAACUCCGAAUGCCGGUAAGUGAGAGCACGGCAGUGAGACUGUGGGGGAUAAGCUCCAUGGUCGAGAGGGAAACAGCCCAGAGCAUCGACUAAGGCCCCUAAGCGUACGCUAAGUGGGAAAGGAUGUGGAGUCGCAGAGACAACCAGGAGGUUGGCUUAGAAGCAGCCACCCUUGAAAGAGUGCGUAAUAGCUCACUGGUCAAGUGAUUCCGCGCCGACAAUGUAGCGGGGCUCAAGCGUACCGCCGAAGUCGUGUCAUUGCAGCAAUAGGGCCAACGCCCGCUGUGAUGGGUAGGGGAGCGUCGUGUGCCGGGUGAAGCAGCAGCGGAAGCUAGUUGUGGACGGUUCACGAGUGAGAAUGCAGGCAUGAGUAGCGAUACACACGUGAGAAACGUGUGCGCCGAUUGACUAAGGGUUCCUGGGUCAAGCUGAUCUGCCCAGGGUAAGUCGGGACCUAAGGCGAGGCCGACAGGCGUAGUCGAUGGACAACCGGUUGAUAUUCCGGUACCCGCUUUGAAACGCCCAAUAUCGAAUCAGGCGAUGCUAAGUCCGUGAAGCCGUUCCGGACCCUUCGGGGAAAGGAAAGUGGUGGAGCCGACGAACCAGACUUGUAGUAGGUAAGCGAUGGGGUGACGCAGGAAGGUAGUCCAGCCCGGGCGGUGGUUGUCCCGGGGUAAGGGUGUAGGCCGAGGGGUAGGCAAAUCCGUCCCUCGUUAAGGCUGAGACCUGAUGCCGAGCCGAUUGUGGUGAAGUGGAUGAUCCUAUGCUGUCGAGAAAAGCCUCUAGCGAGUUUCAUGGCGGCCCGUACCCUAAACCGACUCAGGUGGUCAGGUAGAGAAUACCGAGGCGUUCGGGUGAACUAUGGUUAAGGAACUCGGCAAAAUGCCCCCGUAACUUCGGGAGAAGGGGGGCCAUCACUGGUGAUCGGACUUGCUCCGUGAGCUGGGGGUGGCCGCAGAGACCAGCGAGAAGCGACUGUUUACUAAAAACACAGGUCCGUGCGAAGCCGUAAGGCGAUGUAUACGGACUGACGCCUGCCCGGUGCUGGAACGUUAAGGGGACCGGUUAGUGACCUUUCGGGGUUGCGAAGCUGAGAACUUAAGCGCCAGUAAACGGCGGUGGUAACUAUAACCAUCCUAAGGUAGCGAAAUUCCUUGUCGGGUAAGUUCCGACCUGCACGAAUGGCGUAACGACUUCUCGACUGUCUCAACCAUAGGCCCGGUGAAAUUGCACUACGAGUAAAGAUGCUCGUUUCGCGCAGCAGGACGGAAAGACCCCGGGACCUUUACUACAGUUUGAUAUUGGUGUUCGGUUCGGCUUGUGUAGGAUAGGUGGGAGACUUUGAAACCCCAACGCCAGUUGGGGUGGAGUCGCCGUUGAAAUACCACUCUGGUCGUGCUGGAUGUCUAACCUCGGUCCGUGAUCCGGAUCAGGGACAGUGUCUGAUGGGUAGUUUAACUGGGGCGGUUGCCUCCCAAAGGGUAACGGAGGCGCCCAAAGGUUCCCUCAGCCUGGUUGGCAAUCAGGUGUUGAGUGUAAGUGCACAAGGGAGCUUGACUGUGAGACCGACGGGUCGAGCAGGGACGAAAGUCGGGACUAGUGAUCCGGCGGUGGCUUGUGGAAGCGCCGUCGCUCAACGGAUAAAAGGUACCCCGGGGAUAACAGGCUGAUCUUCCCCAAGAGUCCAUAUCGACGGGAUGGUUUGGCACCUCGAUGUCGGCUCGUCGCAUCCUGGGGCUGGAGUCGGUCCCAAGGGUUGGGCUGUUCGCCCAUUAAAGCGGUACGCGAGCUGGGUUUAGAACGUCGUGAGACAGUUCGGUCCCUAUCCGCUGUGCGCGUAGGAAUAUUGAGAAGGGCUGUCCCUAGUACGAGAGGACCGGGACGGACGAACCUCUGGUGUGCCAGUUGUCCUGCCAAGGGCAUGGCUGGUUGGCUACGUUCGGGAGGGAUAACCGCUGAAAGCAUCUAAGCGGGAAGCCUGCUUCAAGAUGAGUAUUCCCACCUCCUUGAGAGGGUAAGGCUCCCAGUAGACGACUGGGUUGAUAGGCCAGAUGUGGAAGCCCGGUAACGGGUGAAGCUGACUGGUACUAAUAGGCCGAGGGCUUGUCCUCAGUUG
RNAcentral lists this ribosomal RNA (2477 nucleotides) under Streptomyces sp. WM6373. RNAcentral's name for it is "bacterial LSU rRNA". It matches the Rfam family "Bacterial large subunit ribosomal RNA", at positions 590 to 2925 of the family's 2925-position model. RNAcentral also lists the same sequence under 4 other names. Lineage: Bacteria; Bacillati; Actinomycetota; Actinomycetes; Kitasatosporales; Streptomycetaceae. The record is from RNAcentral.